Molecule: ribosomal RNA, 407 nt
Filed under: uncultured bacterium
Lineage: Bacteria
Description: partial 16S ribosomal RNA
Rfam family: Bacterial small subunit ribosomal RNA
Source: RNAcentral
AUUGAACGCUGGCGGCAGGCCUAACACAUGCAAGUCGAGCGGAGCGGCGGACGGGUGAGUAAUGCCUAGGAAUCUGCCUGGUAGUGGGGGAUAACGUCCGGAAACGGGCGCUAAUACCGCCUACUAUCAGAAGAGCCUAUGUCGGAUUAGCUAUUUGUGGGGGUAAAGGCCUACCAAGGCGACGAUCCGUAACUGGUCUGAGAGGAUGAUCAGUCACACUGUAACUGAGACACGGUCCAGACUCCUACGGGAGGCAGCAGUGGGGAAUAUUGGACAAUGGGCGAAAGCCUGAUCCAGCCAUGCCGCGUGUGUGAAGAAGGUCUUCGGAUUGUAAAGUACUUUCAGCGGGGAGGCGUUACCCGCAGAAGAAGCACCGGCUAACUCCGUGCCAGCAGCCGCGGUAAUUC